Molecule: ribosomal RNA, 253 nt
Filed under: uncultured bacterium
Lineage: Bacteria
Description: partial 16S ribosomal RNA
Rfam family: Bacterial small subunit ribosomal RNA
Source: RNAcentral
UACGAAGGGUGCUAGCGUUGUUCGGAAUUACUGGGCGUAAAGCGCGCGUAGGCGGCUUUUCAAGUCAGAGGUGAAAUCCCCAGGCUCAACCUGGGAAUUGCCUUUGAAACUGUAAAGCUAGAGUGUCGGAGGGGAUAGCGGAAUUCCUAAUGUAGAGGUGAAAUUCGUAGAUAUUAGGAGGAACACCGGUGGCGAAGGCGGCUAUCUGGACGACAACUGACGCUGAGGCGCGAAAGCACGGGGAUCAAACAGG